RNAcentral lists this ribosomal RNA (253 nucleotides) under uncultured bacterium. Its description in RNAcentral is "partial 16S ribosomal RNA". It matches the Rfam family "Bacterial small subunit ribosomal RNA", at positions 524 to 776 of the family's 1533-position model. The record is from RNAcentral.
UACGGGGGGAGCAAGCGUUGUUCGGAAUUACUGGGCGUAAAGGGCUCGUAGGCGGCCAACUAAGUCGGACGUGAAAUCCCUCAGCUUAACUGGGGAACUGCGUCCGAUACUGGAUGGCUUGGAUUUGGGAGAGGGAUGCGGAAUUCCAGGUGUAGCGAUGAAAUGCGUAGAUAUCUGGAGGAACACCGGUGGCGAAGGCGGCAUCCUGGACCGGCAUUGACGCUGAGGCGCGAAAGCCAGGGGAGCAAACGGG